UCUCUUGUCAGUCCCCCUGUAAACGCUUCCCCGGUGCAACGUCCUUUUAGUUCCAUUUCCGUUUUCCUGUUUUUAUUCAUUUUAUUCAAUUUUCGCUUUCCUUUUUUCCGGAGCACCCUCUGUUUGGCGAAAGCAUACCCCGAAUUCCCACCAAGCAUCUUGGAAUACAUCACUGAAUAAUGGCAGCACCUCAAGGGCUCCCGUGGUCUGAGGAAAAGGAUCGAAAAUCAAAGAUCCAAAGUGGGUAGAAUCAUGGCCUUCCUCUCGUUUAUAACUGAAGGGCAGACAAUCCUCCAAAAUUGGACUUUCCUUUCAAAUAUGUCCAGCACAUACCAGUGGCCAGAACAUCUGCUAAGUGAGGGAAAGGCUGAGAACACAGUGAAAACCUACCUGGUGAAUUUGUCCCAGUUCCUGACCUACUUCAGGGACACCCCUCCCUCCUCAUCCAGGGUUCCAAAAAGAGCAGUGUUUUCCGUGCUUCGUGCUAUCUCAGAGUGCAUUUCAAACCUUGGCCCAGAUGUGGUCAUGCAUCAGAUAAGUGUCAAGAAAAAGAAGUUGAGCCGGACCAUCUCCAAGGACCAACUUCACCUCUGCAAAGUCCUGGCCAGGAGACGCAUCCCUGAACUUCUUGAUCAACUGUCUGAGGACACCAACCCGGAGGCACGCAGGAGAUUCUUCGGGUACCUCAGUGUUUAUCUAGC
Molecule: long non-coding RNA, 701 nt
Organism: Fundulus heteroclitus (mummichog)
Lineage: Eukaryota; Metazoa; Chordata; Actinopteri; Cyprinodontiformes; Fundulidae
Exons: 4
Source: RefSeq, a predicted model, not a curated record